GUCCCCAGCAUCCUGGCCGCCCCCGGGACAUCGGUGUGGAGGGUACGAGCGUCCACCCCCGGGGCAGUGAAAUUACGGGUGCCCUGAAGCCUUUUGUCUCGCCUUCGGGAGAAAAUCGCGCUACAACAGUCCGCGCUAAAGGUGGACCCUACGUAGUGAUCGGGAAGGCGAUUCACACUUGUUUCAUGCAAGAUUGGCUCUUCUGGGUUUGGUUUUGGUUUUGGUUUUUUUUUUGUUUUUUUUUUGUUUUUUUUUUUUUGUCGGUUUGGUUGGGGUUUGGAUGCUGCAUUUGAUUAUUACUCAUUAUCCAUGGUUUCUUUUCGAAUCAGUGACACAGCUUCAAGUCUGAAUAAUUAUUAUUUACAGUUCUGGAAAGAGGUGCAUGAGACGUCCAAAUGAUCCCCGGUUAUGGAAUUGGAAACCUUCCUUUCCGUAGGCGUACAGGUACAUAUAUGAAGCCAGCAACGAUCUGAAACCCAGCAGGAGAAAAACAACGUGUAAAGACACCAUGGAUAACCACAAGGUCUUUUGUGGCUUGAUCAUCUUUCUUCAGAUCGCCGACCUACCGCGGGGAUCUACCCACAAUUUCAGCCUCUGUAACCACUACCAGAUACAAGAAGAUUUCCAAAACCUUUCGGAUCUAGAGAGGACCUUUACAAAAGAGGUUGGUGGUUUCUCCGGUGGCAUCGGAGGGAAACUGUCGGGAGGGCACUGCCUCUACGAUUUCACCCUUGACCGCCGGCAACUACUUUCUGAAAAUCUCGAUUAGCAAGCCGGGAGUUGGCUAGUGUAGCAGUAAACCGGUGCCUGUGAAACAGGACGGGGAACUUUUCUCCAACUCUCCUCCGGCGACCUUCCUAAAACGUGCUUUCGCCGGAGCUGGGACUGGCCGGGACGGAGCUACCCGACCCUUCCCGGCGCCUUGCAGACCCCUAGGACUGAAAGAUGAAGAUGGUGUCGCGGCUGCAAAGGUGAUGAGCGGUUUAGAAGCUGCGCGGAUGGUCCCGACGCUUAGCGGAAAGAUGAGGCGGCGGCGGCGGCUUUCGGGA
RNAcentral lists this long non-coding RNA (1049 nucleotides) under Calidris pugnax (ruff). Its description in RNAcentral is "lncRNA (ENSCPUG00000000118.1)". Lineage: Eukaryota; Metazoa; Chordata; Aves; Charadriiformes; Scolopacidae. The record is from RNAcentral.